GAUGAACGCUGGCGGCGUGCCUAAUACAUGCAAGUCGAGCGAACAGACGAGGAGCUUGCUCCUCUGACGUUAGCGGCGGACGGGUGAGUAACACGUGGAUAACCUACCUAUAAGACUGGGAUAACUUCGGGAAACCGGAGCUAAUACCGGAUAAUAUAUUGAACCGCAUGGUUCAAUAGUGAAAGACGGUUUUGCUGUCACUUAUAGAUGGAUCCGCGCCGCAUUAGCUAGUUGGUAAGGUAACGGCUUACCAAGGCAACGAUGGGUAGCCGACCUGAGAGGGUGUACGGGCACAGUGGGACUGAGAGACGGCGCAGACUACUACGGGAGGCAGCAGUGGGGAAUAUGGCAGAAUAGGCGCGAGCCUGAGGCAGCGAUGUCGGGUUGGUGAAGACGUCUUACGGGUUGUAAACUACUGUCGCGAGAGACGAAGCGCAAGUGACGGUACCUAGAGAAGAAGCACCGGCUAACUACGUG
Molecule: ribosomal RNA, 477 nt
Filed under: uncultured bacterium
Lineage: Bacteria
Description: partial 16S ribosomal RNA
Rfam family: Bacterial small subunit ribosomal RNA
Source: RNAcentral